GUGAACGCUGGCGGUAGGCCUAACACAUGCAAGUCGAACGGCAGCACAGUAAGAGCUUGCUCUUACGGGUGGUGAGUGGCGGACGGGUGAGGAAUACAUCGGAAUCUACUUUUUCGUGGGGGAUAACGUAGGGAAACUUACGCUAAUACCGCAUACGACCUACGGGUGAAAGCAGGGGAUCUUCGGACCUUGCGCGAUUGAAUGAGCCGAUGUCGGAUUAGCUAGUUGGCGGGGUAAAGGCCCACCAAGGCGACGAUCCGUAGCUGGUCUGAGAGGAUGAUCAGCCACACUGGAACUGAGACACGGUCCAGACUCCUACGGGAGGCAGCAGUGGGGAAUAUUGGACAAUGGGCGCAAGCCUGAUCCAGCCAUACCGCGUGGGUGAAGAAGGCCUUCGGGUUGUAAAGCCCUUUUGUUGGGAAAGAAAAGCAGCAGGUUAAUACCCCGCUGUUCUGACGGUACCCAAAGAAUAAGCACCGGCUAACUUCGUG
This 491-nucleotide ribosomal RNA is filed under the name uncultured bacterium. Its description in RNAcentral is "partial 16S ribosomal RNA". It matches the Rfam family "Bacterial small subunit ribosomal RNA", at positions 29 to 507 of the family's 1533-position model. The record is from RNAcentral.